UGGGUUUGAUCAUGGCUUAGGACGAACGCUGGCGGCGUGCUUCAUACAUGCAAGUCGAACGGGUAGCAAUACCAGUGGCGGACGGGUGAGUAACGCGUGAACAAUCUACCUUAUAUUUUGGAAUAACUAUUGGAAACAAUAGCUAAUACCGAAUAAGACCACGAGGCGGCAUCGCUUUGGGGUAAAAGAUUUAUCGAUAUAAGAUGAGUUCGCGUCCUAUUAGCUAGAUGGUAGUGUAACGGACUACCAUGGCGACGAUAGGUAGCCGGCCUGAGAGGGUGAACGGCCACACCGGAACUGAGAACGGUCCGGACUCCUACGGGAGGCAGCAGUAGGGAAUAUUGGGCAAUGGAGGCAACUCUGACCCAGCAACGCCGCGUGAAGGAAGAAGGUCUUCGGAUUGUAAACUUCUGUCGCAGGGGACGAAGAAUGACGGUACCCUGUAAGAAAGCCACGGCAAACUACGUGCCAGCAGCCGCGGUAAUACGUAGGUGGCAAGCGUUGUCCGGAAUGACUGGGUGUAAAGGGAGUGUAGGCGGUGGUAUAAGUCGUAUGUGAAAGCCCAUAGCUCAACUAUGGAAGUGCAUACGAUACUGUAUUACUAGAGUAUGGGAGAGGUAAGUGGAAUUCCUAGUGUAGCGGUGGAAUGCGUAGAUAUUAGGAGGAACACCAGUGGCGAAGGCGACUUACUGGACCAAAACUGACGCUGAGGCUCGAAAGCGUGGGGAGCAAACAGGAUUAGAUACCCUGGUAGUCCACGCCCUAAACGAUGGAUACUAGACGAAGGGGGUAUAAAUUCCUCCUGUGUCGAAGCAAACGCGAUAAGUAUCCCACCUGGGGAGUACGGCCGCAAGGUUGAAACUCAAAGAAAUUGACGGGGACCCGCACAAGCAGCGGAGCAUGUGGUUUAAUUCGAAGCAACGCGAAAAACCUUACCAAGACUUGACAUUAUAUGAACUCCCUAGAGAUAGGGCUUCCCGCAAGGGCAUAUGGACAGGUGGUGCAUGGUUGUCGUCAGCUCGUGUCGUGAGAUGUUCGGUUAAGUCCGGCAACGAGCGCAACCCUUGUGAUAUGUUGGCAAUAUUAAGUUAGCAACUCAUAUCAGACUGCCGUGGAUAACACGGAGGAAGGCGGGGACGACGUCAAAUCAUCAUGCCCCUUACGUCUUGGGCUACACACGUGCUACAAUGGGCGCUACAAACUGCUGCGAAGCCGCAAGGUGGAGCCAAUCAGAUAAAAGCGUUCUCAGUUCGGAUUGUGGGCUGCAACUCGCCCACAUGAAGUCGGAGUUGCUAGUAAUCCCGGAUCAGCACGCCGGGGUGAAUGCGUUCCCGGGUCUUGUACACACCGCCCGUC
RNAcentral lists this ribosomal RNA (1356 nucleotides) under uncultured bacterium. RNAcentral describes it as "bacterial SSU rRNA". It matches the Rfam family "Bacterial small subunit ribosomal RNA". The record is from RNAcentral.